AACGAACGCUGGCGGCAGGCCUAACACAUGCAAGUCGAGCGACCAUUUCGGUGCUAGCUGCGGACGGGUGAGUAACGCGUGGGAACGUGCCCUUUUCUGCGGAAUAGUCCUGGGAAACUGGGGGUAAUACCGCAUACGCCCUUUUGGGGACAGAUUUAUCGUAGAAGGGUCGGCCCGCGUUGGAUUAGGUAGUUGGUGUGGUAAUGGCCCACCAAGCCGACGAUCCAUAGCUGGUUUGAGAGGAUGAUCAGCCACACUGGGACUGAGACACGGCCCAGACUACUACGGGAGGCAGCAGUGGGGAAUCUUAGACAAUGGGGGCAACCCUGAUCUAGCCAGGCCGCGUGAGUGAUGAAGGCCUUAGGGUUGUAAAGCUGUUUCAGCUGGGAAGAUAAUGACGGUACCAGAAGAAGAAGCCCCGGCUAACUCCGUG
This 433-nucleotide ribosomal RNA is filed under the name uncultured bacterium. Its description in RNAcentral is "partial 16S ribosomal RNA". It matches the Rfam family "Bacterial small subunit ribosomal RNA", at positions 29 to 507 of the family's 1533-position model. The record is from RNAcentral.